RNAcentral lists this ribosomal RNA (497 nucleotides) under uncultured bacterium. RNAcentral describes it as "partial 16S ribosomal RNA". It matches the Rfam family "Bacterial small subunit ribosomal RNA", at positions 28 to 507 of the family's 1533-position model. The record is from RNAcentral.
GAUGAACGCUGGCGGCGUGCCUAAUACAUGCAAGUCGAGCGAACAGACGAGGAGCUUGCUCCUCUGACGUUAGCGGCGGACGGGUGAGUAACACGUGGAUAACCUACCUAUAAGACUGGGAUAACUUCGGGAAACCGGAGCUAAUACCGGAUAAUAUAUUGAACCGCAUGGUUCAAUAGUGAAAGACGGUUUUGCUGUCACUUAUAGAUGGAUCCGCGCCGCAUUAUCUAGUUGGUAAGGUAACGGCUUACCAAGGCAACGAUGCGUAGCCGACCUGAGAGGGUGAUCGGCCACACUGGAACUGAGACACGGUCCAGACUCCUACGGGAGGCAGCAGUAGGGAAUCUUCCGCAAUGGGCGAAAGCCUGACGGAGCAAAGCCGCGUGAGUGAUGAAGGUCUUCGGAUCGUAAAACUCUGUUAUUAGGGAAGAAAAAAUGUGUAAGUAACUAUGCACGUCUUGACGGUACCUAAUAAGAAAGCCACGGCUAACUACGUU